Molecule: ribosomal RNA, 402 nt
Filed under: Salmonella enterica
Lineage: Bacteria; Pseudomonadati; Pseudomonadota; Gammaproteobacteria; Enterobacterales; Enterobacteriaceae
Description: partial 23S ribosomal RNA
Source: RNAcentral
CUGUCUGAAUAUGGGGGGACCAUCCUCCAAGGCUAAAUACUCCUGACUGACCGAUAGUGAACCAGUACCGUGAGGGAAAGGCGAAAAGAACCCCGGCGAGGGGAGUGAAAAAGAACCUGAAACCGUGUACGUACAAGCAGUGGGAGCACCCUUUGGGGUGUGACUGCGUACCUUUUGUAUAAUGGGUCAGCGACUUAUAUUCUGUAGCAAGGUUAACCGUAUAGGGGAGCCGYAGGGAAACCGAGUCUUAACCGGGCGUUAAGUUGCAGGGUAUAGACCCGAAACCCGGUGAUCUAGCCAUGGGCAGGUUGAAGGUUGGGUAACACUAACUGGAGGACCGAACCGACUAAUGUUGAAAAAUUAGCGGAUGACCUGUGGCUGGGGGUGAAAGGCCAAUCAAAC